UAGGGAAUCUUCGGCAAUGGACGAAAGUCUGACCGAGCAACGCCGCGUGAGUGAAGAAGGCUUUCGGAUCGUAAAACUCUGUUGUUAGAGAAGAACAAGGACGUUAGUAACUGAACGUCCCCUGACGGUAUCUAACCAGAAAGCCACGGCUAACUACGUGCCAGCAGCCGCGGUAAUACGUAGGUGGCAAGCGUUGUCCGGAUUUAUUGGGCGUAAAGCGAGCGCAGGCGGUUUCUUAAGUCUGAUGUGAAAGCCCCCGGCUCAACCGGGGAGGGUCAUUGGAAACUGGGAGACUAGAGUGCAGAAGAGGAGAGUGGAAUUCCAUGUGUAGCGGUGAAAUGCGUAGAUAUAUGAAGGAACACCAGUGGCGAAGGCGACUCUCUGGUCUGGAACUGACGCUGAGGCUCGAAAGCGUGGGGAGCAAACAGG
RNAcentral lists this ribosomal RNA (429 nucleotides) under Gemmatimonadota bacterium. RNAcentral describes it as "Gemmatimonadetes bacterium partial 16S ribosomal RNA". It matches the Rfam family "Bacterial small subunit ribosomal RNA", at positions 355 to 776 of the family's 1533-position model. Lineage: Bacteria; Pseudomonadati; Gemmatimonadota. The record is from RNAcentral.